RNAcentral lists this transfer RNA (82 nucleotides) under Candidatus Uzinura diaspidicola str. ASNER. RNAcentral describes it as "tRNA-Tyr (GTA) (tRNA-Tyr-GTA-1-1)". It matches the Rfam family "tRNA". Rfam says of the family: Transfer RNA (tRNA) molecules are approximately 80 nucleotides in length. Lineage: Bacteria; Pseudomonadati; Bacteroidota; Flavobacteriia; Flavobacteriales. The record is from Rfam by way of RNAcentral.
GGGGAGAUAUUCAAGAGGCUAAAGAAAGCAGACUGUAAAUCUGAUGGGAAAACCUUCGUAGGUUCGACUCCUACUCUCCCCA